UACGUAGGUGGCAAGCGUUGUCCGGAAUCACUGGGCGUAAAGCGCGCGCAGGCGGCGAUCUACGUCUGGGGUGAAAGCCCGGAGCUCAACUCCGGGACUGCCUUGGAUACGGGAUCGCUUGAGGAUUGGAGAGGCAAGGGGAAUUCCACGUGUAGCGGUGAAAUGCGUAGAUAUGUGGAGGAACACCUGUGGCGAAGGCGCCUUGCUGGCCAAUUACUGACGCUGAGGCGCGAAAGCGUGGGGAGCAAACAGG
Molecule: ribosomal RNA, 253 nt
Filed under: uncultured bacterium
Lineage: Bacteria
Description: partial 16S ribosomal RNA
Rfam family: Bacterial small subunit ribosomal RNA
Source: RNAcentral